This 657-nucleotide long non-coding RNA is filed under the name Salvia miltiorrhiza (redroot sage). RNAcentral's name for it is "long non-coding RNA (SMIL_LNC006757)". The record is from RNAcentral. Lineage: Eukaryota; Viridiplantae; Streptophyta; Magnoliopsida; Lamiales; Lamiaceae.
UUUCUUGCUUCCUUUUACUAAUUAAACACAUGUGAGACUGCAGAUUCCGUGUCUUUGAUGAUACAGAGGAGGCAGUGGAGGUAUUGGAGGAGGAGGAGGAUGAGGAUGAGGAUGAGGAUGAGGAUGAGGAUGAGGAUGAGGAUGAGGAUGAGGAUGAGGAUGAGGAUGAGGAGAUGGUAUUCUUGUUCUCAUUUGUUUUUUACUUCAUUCUUUUUAGCUCCAAUCUAAUAAUAUAUAUUCUGUGACAUUGAUGCAUAUUAUUUUUAGUUGAAGUUGGGAAUGAUAUGCUUUCUGUUAUACUUUAUUGGAUCUAAACAUUAAGCUACUACUUCAUUGAUUUGUCAUUGGAAGUUUUCUUUCUUACACUGUUACACAUAACUCUAUGGACCUUAGUCCUUCAUAAUCAGUUAUGUAUUGACUUACCAAUAACUGUUCUUAGGAACUUGAUGUUGGAAAUAUAGCCUCAUUGAUUAUGAUUUUAUCUAUGGAUAAAGUCAGUUUGUUUAAUACUUGUUUCUGUUUCUUUUCUUUUUUCUUUUUUAUUUUAAUGAUUUGGAAUUUCAUGUCUCAACUCAUUGGCAAAUUUUGCAGGAUCCUAACACUGAGGAGUUAGUUGCAAAUUGGCGAAAAAAUUGUUCACGCUAUGUUGUUGGAAUU